Paramuricea clavata is the source of this 962-nucleotide non-coding RNA. The record is from the annotation of a GenBank genome assembly. Lineage: Eukaryota; Metazoa; Cnidaria; Anthozoa; Malacalcyonacea; Plexauridae.
GCUGUAAAUUUGUGACAAUUUUUAAGCUAGGGCAAUUUUAUUCAUUUACUGUCUGAGAAAAGAUGGGAUCUCUGAGUUUAUAAUUCAACUUGUUCGAGACAUGUAUUGAUGUAUAUUUGUAGUACUUCACCUCGGCUCAUGCAGUACUAUAGCUUAAUUCAGUCAAGGAUAAAACUGAUUUCAUCUUUAUAUGGUGAGCUGUUAUCAAAAUGCUACUGGGAUUGAGUUAUUGGAUGAUUAAUGUUUUGUAAUUCAUAAAUCAGGCAUCUCCAGAUGAACUUUCUGGUAGCAGAAUAUAUUGAAUUUUUUUACAUGACAUGAUUGAACAUACUGAAUAAAAUUUCUAUUAUGCUGUGUUAUAGGUUACCUUGAGCUCAUGGAAACAUUAUAAAUUGUACAACACUAACAUCGAAUAAACAUGGUGAUGAUUGUGGAGAUAAUGCGGCGACUGUGGUUAUAACAACCAUAUAGUGUUUACCAAUCAGAAACAAAUUUAAACAUAGAAGAAACAAUACAGAUUGGAUGCUGAUGAAACAAAGAUGGAAGAAUGUAUUGCCUUAUAAUAACAAUUCACAUUACAUAAGAGCACAAGUAUUGUUUAUGAGUUGGAAUAAUUUGAUUGAGUUGAGAAUGGUUUAAUUGAUUGACUUGGGAAUAUUAUCCAGUGCUGGUUGAGAGUCAGAAAAUUAUGUCCUUAAAUAUAGCCACCUAUAAUAAAAUGUUUUCUAGUUCUAUUUCCUAUAGCUACUUUAUAUAUUUCAUUAUCUUUUUGUAUGGAUAUACGAUAACUGAUUUCAAGCACCAUGUUACAUGCCAUGUGAACAAAAAUGGUAUAGCAGUUUUAACAUUCUGGCUAAAGUAGUUAUCUGGCCAACAUUGAGAUAUACAUACUGAUAGUUUUGGUCCUAGUUGUUGUAAAAAAUUCAAUAUAUAGCAUAUGCUUUAUACCACACUAAUGAUCA